Molecule: ribosomal RNA, 233 nt
Filed under: Streptomyces sp. WAC 05379
Lineage: Bacteria; Bacillati; Actinomycetota; Actinomycetes; Kitasatosporales; Streptomycetaceae
Description: partial 23S ribosomal RNA
Rfam family: Bacterial large subunit ribosomal RNA
Source: RNAcentral
UCUCGUGACUGCGUGCCUUUUGAAGAAUGAGCCUGCGAGUUUGCGGUGUGUUGCGAGGUUAACCCGUGUGGGGAAGCCGUAGCGAAAGCGAGUCCGAAUAGGGCGGUAUAGUAGCGCGCUCAAGACCCGAAGCGGAGUGAUCUAGCCAUGGGCAGGUUGAAGCGGAGGUAAGACUUCGUGGAGGACCGAACCCACCAGGGUUGAAAACCUGGGGGAUGACCUGUGGUUAGGGG